This 253-nucleotide ribosomal RNA is filed under the name uncultured bacterium. RNAcentral's name for it is "partial 16S ribosomal RNA". It matches the Rfam family "Bacterial small subunit ribosomal RNA", at positions 524 to 776 of the family's 1533-position model. The record is from RNAcentral.
UACGUAGGCAGCGAGCGUUGUUCGGAAUUACUGGGCGUAAAGAGUGUGUAGGCGGUGCUCCCAGUCUGUUGUGAAAUCUCCCGGCUUAACUGGGAGGGUGCAGCGGAAACUAGAGUGCUAGAGGGUGGGAGAGGUAAGCGGAAUUCCUGGUGUAGCGGUGAAAUGCGUAGAUAUCAGGAGGAACACCUGUGGUGUAGACAGCUUACUGGACCACUUCUGACGCUCAUGCACGAAAGCGUGGGGAGCAAACAGG